CGAUGAUCAGGAGCUUGCUUCUGUGAUUAGUGGCGAACGGGUGAGUAACACGUGAGUAACCUGCCCCUGACUCUGGGAUAAGCGUUGGAAACGACGUCUAAUACUGGAUAUGACUACCGGUCGCAUGGCCUGGUGGUGGAAAGAUUUUUUGGUUGGGGAUGGACUCGCGGCCUAUCAGCUUGUUGGUGAGGUAAUGGCUCACCAAGGCGACGACGGGUAGCCGGCCUGAGAGGGUGACCGGCCACACUGGGACUGAGACACGGCCCAGACUCCUACGGGAGGCAGCAGUGGGGAAUAUUGCACAAUGGGCGAAAGCCUGAUGCAGCAACGCCGCGUGAGGGAUGACGGCCUUCGGGUUGUAAACCUCUUUUAGUAGGGAAGAAGCGAAAGUGACGGUACCUGCAGAAAAAGCACCGGCUAACUACGUGCC
RNAcentral lists this ribosomal RNA (430 nucleotides) under Curtobacterium sp. RNAcentral describes it as "bacterial SSU rRNA". It matches the Rfam family "Bacterial small subunit ribosomal RNA", at positions 67 to 509 of the family's 1533-position model. Lineage: Bacteria; Bacillati; Actinomycetota; Actinomycetes; Micrococcales; Microbacteriaceae. The record is from RNAcentral.